RNAcentral lists this long non-coding RNA (959 nucleotides) under Homo sapiens (human). RNAcentral describes it as "non-protein coding lnc-OR4C15-2:1". The record is from RNAcentral. Lineage: Eukaryota; Metazoa; Chordata; Mammalia; Primates; Hominidae.
AUGGUUUUAGGUCUAACGUAUAAGUCUUUAAUCCAUCUUGAAUUAAUUUUUGUAUAAGGCAUAAGGAAGGGAUCCAGUUUCAGCUUUCUACAUAUGGCUAGCCAGUUUUCGCAGCACCAUUUAUUAAAUAGGGAAUCCUUUCCCCAUUUCUUGUUUUUGUCAGGUUUGUCAAAGAUCAGAUAGUUGUAGAUAUGCAGCCUUAUUUCUGAGGGCUCUGUUCUGUUCCAUUGAUCUAGCAUUCUUGUACACCAAUAACAGACAAACAGAGAGCCAAAUAAUGAGUGAACUCCCAUUCACAAUUGCUUCAAAGAGAAUAAAAUACCUAGGAAUCCAACUUACAAGAGACGCAAAGGACCUCUUCAAGGAGAACUACAAACCACUGCUCAAUGAAAUAAAAGAGGUUACAAACAAAUGGAAGAACGUUCCAUGCUCAUAGGUAGGAAGAAUCAAUAUCAUGAAAAUGGCCAUACUGCCCAAGGUAAUUUAUAAAUUCAAUGCCAUCUUCAUCAGUGAAUUCUAUGUUUCAAAUUGUCGUUGUGUACAGUCUCCCUUUCUGUGGCUCCAAUGUCAUUGACCACAUUGUCUGUGACAUGUACCCAUUACUGGAACUGGCAUGUGCUGACACCUACUUUAUAGGGCUCACUGUGAUUGCCAAUGGUGGAGCAAUCUGUGUGGUCAUCUUCUGCCUUCUACUAACCUCCUAUGGAGUCAUCCUAAACUUCCUUAAAACUUAUAGUCAAGAAGGGAGGCAUAGAACCCUGUCUACCUGCAGCUCCCACAUUACUGUGGUUGUCCUCUUUUUUGUUCCCUGUAUUUUCAUGUAUGUUAGACCUGUUUCAAACUUCCCUAUUGAUAAAUUCAUUACUGAGUUUUAUACAGUUAUCACCCCCAAGUUGAAUCCAUUAAUCCAACCACUGAGAAAUUGAGAAAUGAGAAUUACUAUGAAGAAACUCUGGUGU